GAACGAAGAGCGACGGAAGCUUGCUUCUAUCAAUCUUAGUGGCGAACGGGUGAGUAACGCGUAAUCAACCGCCCUUCAGAGGGGGACAACAGUUGGAAACGACUGCUAAUACCGCAUACGAUCUAAUCUCGGCAUCGAGGAUGGAUGAAAGGUGGCCUCUACAUGUAAGCUAUCACUGAAGGAGGGGAUUGCGUCUGAUUAGCUAGUUGGAGGGGUAACGGCCCACCAAGGCGAUGAUCAGUAGCCGGUUGAGAGGAUGAACGGCCACAUUGGGAUGAGACACGGCCCAGACUCCUACGGGAGGCAGCAGUGGGGAAUCUUCCGCAAUGGACGAAAGUCUGACGGAGCAACGCCGCGUGAGUGAUGACGGCCUUCGGGUUGUAAAAGCUCUGUUAAUCGGGACGAAAGGCCUUUCUUGGCGAAAUAAGUGAGAAAGGA
RNAcentral lists this ribosomal RNA (438 nucleotides) under Veillonella parvula. RNAcentral's name for it is "bacterial SSU rRNA". It matches the Rfam family "Bacterial small subunit ribosomal RNA", at positions 64 to 477 of the family's 1533-position model. Lineage: Bacteria; Bacillati; Bacillota; Negativicutes; Veillonellales; Veillonellaceae. The record is from RNAcentral.